RNAcentral lists this small nucleolar RNA (107 nucleotides) under Gossypium hirsutum (cotton). Its description in RNAcentral is "Plant small nucleolar RNA R71". It matches the Rfam family "Plant small nucleolar RNA R71". Rfam says of the family: R71 is a member of the C/D box family of snoRNAs containing the C (UGAUGA) and D (CUGA) box motifs. Multiple nearly identical copies of this snoRNA have been identified in Arabidopsis, and it is thought to function as a 2'-O-ribose methylation guide for 18S ribosomal RNA. The record is from Rfam by way of RNAcentral. Lineage: Eukaryota; Viridiplantae; Streptophyta; Magnoliopsida; Malvales; Malvaceae.
AUCCUAUAAUGAGGACACUUACAAAGUAACUCCUUAAAUCGCUCUCAAGCCUCAUGCAAAGACUCGUCAUCCAAUUGCUGGAAAGUUGUGAUCUCGUUCCUCAACUU